AUGGCGACCGGCGCACGGGUGAGUAACACGUAUCCAACCUGCCGAUAACUCGGGGAUAGCCUUUCGAAAGAAAGAUUAAUACCCGAUGGUAUAAUCAGACCGCAUGGUUUGAUUAUUAAAGAAUUUCGGUUAUCGAUGGGGAUGCGUUCCAUUAGGCAGUUGGUGAGGUAACGGCUCACCAAACCUUCGAUGGAUAGGGGUUCUGAGAGGAAGGUCCCUCACAUUGGAACUGAGACACGGUCCAA
Molecule: ribosomal RNA, 245 nt
Filed under: uncultured bacterium
Lineage: Bacteria
Description: partial 16S ribosomal RNA
Rfam family: Bacterial small subunit ribosomal RNA
Source: RNAcentral